RNAcentral lists this ribosomal RNA (396 nucleotides) under uncultured bacterium. RNAcentral describes it as "partial 16S ribosomal RNA". It matches the Rfam family "Bacterial small subunit ribosomal RNA", at positions 523 to 918 of the family's 1533-position model. The record is from RNAcentral.
AUACGUAGGUGGCAAGCGUUGUCCGGAUUUACUGGGUGUAAAGGGCGCGUAGGCGGGAUGGCAAGUCAGAUGUGAAAUCUCCGGGCUCAACCCGGAAACUGCAUUUGAAACUGCCGUUCUUGAGUAUCGGAGAGGCAAGCGGAAUUCCUAGUGUAGCGGUGAAAUGCGUAGAUAUUAGGAGGAACACCAGUGGCGCAGGCGGCGUGCGGGACGACACCUGGCGCUGGGGCGCGAAAGGGUGGGGAGAAAACAGGAUUAGAUGCCCUGGUAGUCCACGCCGUAAACGAAGAAGACUAGGUGGUGGGGGACUGACCCCCUCCGUGCCGCAGUUAACACAAUAAGUAUUCCACCUGGGGAGUACGGCCGCAAGGUUGAAACUCAAAUGAAUAGACGGGG